GUGCCAGCAGCCGCGGUAAUACGUAGGGGGCAAGCGUUGUCCGGAAUCACUGGGCGUAAAGGGUUCGCAGGCGGAAAUGCAAGUCAGUUGUGAAAGGCAGAGGCUCAACCUCUGUAAGCAAUUGAAACUGUAUUUCUUGAGAUGUGGAGAGGCAAGUGGAAUUCCUAGUGUAGCGGUGAAAUGCGUAGAUAUUAGGAAGAAUACCGGUGGCGAAGGCGACUUGCUGGACACAAACUGACGCUGAGGAACGAAAGCGUGGGUAGCAAACAGGAUUAGAUACCCCGGUAGUCC
This 291-nucleotide ribosomal RNA is filed under the name uncultured Peptoniphilus sp. RNAcentral describes it as "partial 16S ribosomal RNA". It matches the Rfam family "Bacterial small subunit ribosomal RNA", at positions 505 to 796 of the family's 1533-position model. The record is from RNAcentral. Lineage: Bacteria; Bacillati; Bacillota; Tissierellia; Tissierellales; Peptoniphilaceae.